CGUAGGGUGCGAGCGUUAAUCGGGAAUUACUGGGCGUAAAGCGUGCGCAGGCGGUUUUGUAAGACAGAUGUGAAAUCCCCGGGCUCAACCUGGGACCUGCAUUUGUGACUGCAAGGCUAGAGUACGGUAGAGGGGGAUGGGAAUUCCGCGUGUAGCAGUGAAAUGCGUAGAUAUGCGGAGGAACACCGAUGGCGAAGGCAAUCCCCUGGACCUGUACUGACGCUCAUGCACGAAAGCGUGGGGAGCAAACAGGAUUAGAUACCCUGGUAGUCCACGCCCUAAACGAUGUCAACUGGUUGUUGGGUCUUUACUGACUCAGUAACGAAGCUAACGCGUGAAGUUGACCGCCUGGGGAGUACGGCCGCAAGGUUG
This 372-nucleotide ribosomal RNA is filed under the name uncultured organism. RNAcentral describes it as "bacterial SSU rRNA". It matches the Rfam family "Bacterial small subunit ribosomal RNA", at positions 526 to 896 of the family's 1533-position model. The record is from RNAcentral.